RNAcentral lists this ribosomal RNA (430 nucleotides) under uncultured archaeon. Its description in RNAcentral is "bacterial SSU rRNA". It matches the Rfam family "Archaeal small subunit ribosomal RNA", at positions 474 to 903 of the family's 1478-position model. The record is from RNAcentral.
CACCGGCGGUCCAACUGGUGACCAUGUUUACUGGGCCUAAAGCGUCCGUAGCCGGGUAGUUGAAUCCCUUGUGAAAUCCUCCAGCUCAACUGGGGGGCGUGCUCGGGACACUCGCUAUCUUGGGACCGGGAGAGGUAAGGGGUAUGCUUGGGGUAGAAGUAAAAUUCUAUAAUCCCAAGAGGACCACCGGUGGCGAAAGCGCCUUACCAGAACGGGUUCGACGGUGAGGGACGAAGGCCAGGGGAGCGAACCGGAUUAGAUACCCGGGUAGUCCUGGCUGUAACGAUGUGGACUAUGUUUUGCGACUCCUACGAGGGCUCGCAGGGCCGUAGCGAAGGUGUUAAGUCCACCGCCUGGGGAGUAUGGCCGCAAGGCAGAAACUUGAAGGAAUUGGCGGGGGGGCACCGACAAGGGGUGGGACCUGCGGUUC